This 67-nucleotide transfer RNA is filed under the name Leptopelis vermiculatus (vermiculated tree frog). Its description in RNAcentral is "tRNA-Ser". Lineage: Eukaryota; Metazoa; Chordata; Amphibia; Anura; Arthroleptidae. The record is from RNAcentral.
GAGUCUGUUUGGAAUAAUGAGAACUGCUAAUUACUCACAACCGUGGUUCAAUUCCACGGCACACUCA